GACGAACGCUGGCGGCGUGCUUAACACAUGCAAGUCGAACGGAAAGGCCCUGCUUUUGUGGGGUGCUCGAGUGGCGAACGGGUGAGUAACACGUGAGUAACCUGCCCUUGACUUUGGGAUAACUUCAGGAAACUGGGGCUAAUACCGGAUAGGAGCUCCUGCUGCAUGGUGGGGGUUGGAAAGUUUCGGCGGUUGGGGAUGGACUCGCGGCUUAUCAGCUUGUUGGUGGGGUAGUGGCUUACCAAGGCUUUGACGGGUAGCCGGCCUGAGAGGGUGACGGGCCACGUUGGGAAUGAGAUACGGCACAGACUCCUACGGGAGGCGGCAGUGGGGAAUAUUGCACAAUGGGCGGAAGCCUAAUGCGACAACGCCGCGUGCGGGAUGACGGCCUUCGGGUUGUAAACCGCUUUCGCCUGUGACGAAACGUGAGUGACGGUAAUGGGUAAAGAAGCACCGGCUAACUACGUG
RNAcentral lists this ribosomal RNA (468 nucleotides) under uncultured bacterium. Its description in RNAcentral is "partial 16S ribosomal RNA". It matches the Rfam family "Bacterial small subunit ribosomal RNA", at positions 28 to 507 of the family's 1533-position model. The record is from RNAcentral.